Molecule: non-coding RNA, 26 nt
Filed under: Mus musculus (house mouse)
Lineage: Eukaryota; Metazoa; Chordata; Mammalia; Rodentia; Muridae
Source: RNAcentral
UAAAUGUAGAACCACGUUCAGUGCCA